AUGGCGCCGGGCUGGGCGAGCAGCCGGUGCAUCUCGAAGACUGAGUUGACGGAGAUUACCUCGGGCUCCUCGUUCGAGUCCUCCGGCUGCAGCAUGAACGGCUCCAGGUCCGCCAGCGUGGCGGCGCCGAGGCCGCGGUACUGGAAGUCGACGCGGAUGGUGUACGCGAACUGGGCGAGCUUCCAGCCCAUCUGCUGCAAGGCGUCGGUCUCGUCCGGCUGCGGGGGGCCGACGCCGGUGAGGCGGAACGAGGGGGUGCCGCCGGGACGGAGGGCUAGGGCCUGGAGAAGGGCGGGCCACUGCAUCCCCUGCUUGAAGGUGGUGGACCGGCGCGCCGUGGCCAAGAAGCACAAGCUGGAGCGGGCGGCCGCCGAGAAGCGCAUCCUGCGGCUGCUCGACCACCCGUUCCUCCCCACGCUCUUCGCCGACUUCGACGCCGCCCCGCGCUUCUCCUGCGUUGUCGUGGAGUUCUGCCCCGGCGGCGACCUCCACUCCCUCCGCCACCGCAUGCCCUCCCGCCACUUCCCGCUCUCCUCCGCCCGGUUCUACGCGGCCGAGGUGCUCCUGGCGCUCUAG
RNAcentral lists this ribosomal RNA (576 nucleotides) under Triticum aestivum (bread wheat). Its description in RNAcentral is "partial small subunit ribosomal RNA". The record is from RNAcentral. Lineage: Eukaryota; Viridiplantae; Streptophyta; Magnoliopsida; Poales; Poaceae.